GUUUAGUUGCUAUAGCUUUUCCAAGAAAUUUCAUUUUUUAAACCCUAUAGGGACGAAAAUUGGCCUCUAUAAACUUGGCGGGGUGGAGGGAAAUUAUCCCGCUUUGUGAAAAUAUUUAUACCAACCAAAUUUCGUCCCAAUAGAAAAAUAAAGUUUUAAUUUUAUUUUUUUUAACCUAAGUGUAAAUAAAAACGAAAAAACAAAAAACAAAAAAUCAUUUUUAUUAACCUACAGCGACUAAACCUCGUAUGCAAUAGCCCUGAACAUUGUUUCAUAUAAAAGACAUCCUCUUUUUCCCCUAAAACCACAUCCCUCAAUUUUCCCUAAAACCCUCCAGCAGAACCCACUUCCCUCCAGAGAAUCAAGUUUUUUCCGGCGAUUUUGGGCAAGAAACCACCGCCGUCACUGGCCGCUGUUCGAAGGUUCAUUGUUUCACUUCUUCAAGCUGAGUUCAGAUUUGCUCUGUUUCACCAAUUUAAUCUUUUCUUCAUUUGCACCAUGCUUGGAUUUGAUUGUAAAGUAGACACGAAGCUUCCUUCUAGAUGUAUAUGUGAUUUAUAGUCCUAUUUUGUUUAUUAGUAGAAUUUUAGAUAGGGUUUUUUCAUCUAUGCCCUAGGUGAGUUUUUGGGGUCAUUAUGUGAUGAACACUAUCAAUCAGAUACUGUAGGCGAUUGACUAAUGAAUAGACCUGGCAAACGGUUGGUCGGGUCAUGGGUCAAACGGGUCCAGCGGGUUUAGCCUUGAGUAAACCCAUAAAUAAAUUUGAAGCGAACAUAUGUAACAUUGUAAGUCCGUGUUCCAGUGGGUUUAGCCGUUGAGUUUAGUAGUAGAAUUAUAAGAUCAUGAGUUCAAGUCUGGUUCAUGUCUUUUUUUUUUUUUUUGUUAAUAGUUCAACUCCAUUGUGAUUUGUGAAUAAAAGUGUUCUAACAUUAAAUUUUGAUUUGUAAAUAAAAGUGUUUGUUAAAUAAA
This is a long non-coding RNA of Helianthus annuus (common sunflower), 969 nucleotides long. RefSeq lists it as uncharacterized. The transcript has 2 exons. NCBI's taxonomy places the organism in Eukaryota, Viridiplantae, Streptophyta, Magnoliopsida, Asterales, Asteraceae. The record is from RefSeq and is a predicted model, not a curated record.